Molecule: ribosomal RNA, 468 nt
Filed under: uncultured bacterium
Lineage: Bacteria
Description: partial 16S ribosomal RNA
Rfam family: Bacterial small subunit ribosomal RNA
Source: RNAcentral
GACGAACGCUGGCGGCGUGCUUAACACAUGCAAGUCGAACGGAAAGGCCCUGCUUUUGUGGGGUGCUCGAGUGGCGAACGGGUGAGUAACACGUGAGUAACCUGCCCUUGACUUUGGGAUAACUUCAGGAAACUGGGGCUAAUACCGGAUAGGAGCUCCUGCUGCAUGGUGGGGGUUGGAAAGUUUCGGCGGUUGGGGAUGGACUCGCGGCUUAUCAGCUUGUUGGUGGGGUAGUGGCUUACCAAGGCUUUGACGGGUAGCCGGCCUGAGAGGGUGACCGGCCACAUUGGGACUGAGAGACGGACCAGACUCCUACGGGAGGCAGCAGUGGGGAAUAUUGCACAAUGGGCGGAAGCCUGAUGCAGCAACGCCGCGUGCGGGAUGACGGCCUGCGGGGUGUAAACCGCUUUCGCCUGUGACGAAGCGUGAGUGACGGUAAUGGGUAAAGAAGCACCGGCUAACUACGUG